CCCUUAGAUGAUCUGGGCAGCACGCGCGCUACAAUGGUCUUCGCAAACGGAUGCAUUCUCGAAGGAGAAUGCCAAUCUUGGAAUCUAUGCCUUGGUCGGGACAGUUGCUUGCAAUUUUUCGACUCGAACCAGGAAUUCCUUGUAAUCGUGAUUCAUCACAUCACGAUGAAUACGUCCCUGCCCUUUGUACACACCGCCCGUCGCUCCUACCGAUCGAAGAGUUAGGUGAAUUGUUUUGAUCGAUAAGAUUUGACUAUGGUCAACUCUCGUUGUGAAAUUCUGUGAAUCUGACUGUUUAGAGGAAGGAAAAGUCGUAACA
This 319-nucleotide ribosomal RNA is filed under the name uncultured eukaryote. Its description in RNAcentral is "partial 18S ribosomal RNA". It matches the Rfam family "Eukaryotic small subunit ribosomal RNA", at positions 1470 to 1796 of the family's 1831-position model. The record is from RNAcentral.